Molecule: long non-coding RNA, 230 nt
Filed under: Lathyrus oleraceus (garden pea)
Lineage: Eukaryota; Viridiplantae; Streptophyta; Magnoliopsida; Fabales; Fabaceae
Description: Pisum sativum (pea) long non-coding RNA (PSAT_LNC008664)
Source: RNAcentral
ACAUUAUUAUUCACUUUUUUUCUUCUUUUUUUUUUCGUCAUCAAUUCAAUAUUAACUUUAAAAUAUAUUUAGACCACAUUGAUGUAAAUACUCAAUCUUAUUUCCCUCAACCACUUUGAACAUCUCUUUUCUCUUUCUCUAUUCAUCUCUUUGUUUUCCAAAUUCUUUUUUCCUCUUUGUUUCUUUAUUAUUUAUUUUCUUUUAUUUUAUGACUCACUCUUUCUAUCAUA